AACGAACGCUGGCGGCAUGCCUAACACAUGCAAGUCGAACGAGACCUUCGGGGCUAGUGGCGCACGGGUACGUAACGCGUGGUAACCUGCCCUUAGGUUCGGAAUAACUCCCCGAAAGGGGUGCUAAGACCGGAUAAUGUCUUCGGGCCUAAGAUUUAUCGCCUUGGGAUGGGCCCGCGUUGGAUUCGCUAGUUGGUAGGGUAAAAGCCUACCAAGGCGACGAUCCAUAGCUGGUCUGAGAGGAUGAUCAGCCACACUGGGACUGAGACACGGCGCAGACUCCUACGGGAGGCAGCAGUGGGGAAUAUUGGACAAUGGGCGAAAGACUGAUCCAGCAAUGCCGCGUGAGUGAUGAAGGCGUUAGGGUUGUAAAGCUCUUUUACCCGGGAUGAUAAUGACAGUACCGGGAGAAUAAGCGCCGGCUAACUCCGUG
This 433-nucleotide ribosomal RNA is filed under the name uncultured bacterium. Its description in RNAcentral is "partial 16S ribosomal RNA". It matches the Rfam family "Bacterial small subunit ribosomal RNA", at positions 29 to 507 of the family's 1533-position model. The record is from RNAcentral.